CUGGCUCAGAUUGAACGCUGGCGGCAUGCCUUACACAUGCAAGUCGAACGGUAACGCGGGGUAACCUGGCGACGAGUGGCGAACGGGUGAGUAAUAUAUCGGAACGUGCCCAAUAGUGGGGGAUAGCCCGGCGAAAGCCGGAUUAAUACCGCAUGAGACCUGAGGGUGAAAGCGGGGGAUUCGCAAGAACCUCGCGCUAUUGGAGCGGCCGAUAUCAGAUUAGGUAGUUGGUGGGGUAAAAGCCUACCAAGCCGACGAUCUGUAGCUGGUCUGAGAGGACGACCAGCCACACUGGGACUGAGACACGGCCCAGACUCCUACGGGAGGCAGCAGUGGGGAAUUUUGGACAAUGGGCGCAAGCCUGAUCCAGCCAUGCCGCGUGCGGGAAGAAGGCCUUCGGGUUGUAAACCGCUUUUGUCAGGGAAGAAAUCCUUUGAGUUAAUACCUCGGAGGGAUGACGGUACCUGAAGAAUAAGCACCGGCUAACUACGUGCCAGCAGCCGCGGUAAUACGUAGGGUGCGAGCGUUAAUCGGAAUUACUGGGCGUAAAGCGUGCGCAGGCGGUCUUGCAAGACAGGUGUGAAAUCCCCGGGCUUAACCUGGGAACUGCACUUGUGACUGCAAGGCUGGAGUACGGCAGAGGGGGAUGGAAUUCCGCGUGUAGCAGUGAAAUGCGUAGAUAUGCGGAGGAACACCGAUGGCGAAGGCAAUCCCCUGGGCCUGUACUGACGCUCAUGCACGAAAGCGUGGGGAGCAAACAGGAUUAGAUACCCGGGG
Molecule: ribosomal RNA, 777 nt
Filed under: Aquabacterium sp.
Lineage: Bacteria; Pseudomonadati; Pseudomonadota; Betaproteobacteria; Burkholderiales; Sphaerotilaceae
Description: bacterial SSU rRNA
Rfam family: Bacterial small subunit ribosomal RNA
Source: RNAcentral